Molecule: unclassified non-coding RNA, 346 nt
Organism: Erinaceus europaeus (western European hedgehog)
Lineage: Eukaryota; Metazoa; Chordata; Mammalia; Eulipotyphla; Erinaceidae
Gene: 7SK
Rfam family: 7SK RNA
About the family: 7SK was discovered as an abundant small nuclear RNA in the mid-70s but a possible function has only recently been suggested. Two independent studies have found that 7SK RNA binds the CDK9/cyclin T complex (known as elongation factor P-TEFb).
Source: Ensembl
GGAUGUGAGGGCAAUCUGGCUGUGACAUCUGUCACCCCAUUGAUCGCCAGGGUUGAUUUGGCUGAUCUGGAUGGCUAGGCAGGUGUCCCCUUCCUCUAUCACUGCUCCAUGUGUGUCCCUCCUAAAGCUAUGCUCUCAGUCAAUGAGGAUGACCUCCCCCCCAAAUAGAGAGGGAUCAGUCUUCGCUCCAGUGUAUAUGGGUCCAGGGUAUAAGAGUAGUUGCGCUCCCCUGCUAGAACAUCCAAACAAAUUCUCAAGGUCCAUUUGUAGAACAUAGGGCAGUCAAGCUUCCAAGACUCCAGACACAACCAAAUGAGCUGCUGCAUGUGGCCAUCCACUUUUCUUU